GAAAAGAAAAGAAAAGAAAAGAAAAGAAAAGAAAAGAAAAGAAAAGAAAAGAAAAGAAAAGAAAAGAAAAGAAAAGAAAAGAAAAGAAAAGAAAAGAAAAGAAAAGAAAAGAAAAGAAAAGAAAAGAAAAGAAAAGAAAAGAAAAGAGGAGAAUUUGACUUAGUACCAACACCAAGGUGAAGCAGAGCAGGGAGGGAGAAGUGUGGCUGAAGAUUCACUGCACAUGAUUUUUGCAAAUCUUUUUAUUUGUGGGUCCUGGUGGAAAGACUACAACAUCAUCAUUCAAGGCAUGAGGAGGAGCUGCUUAUCAUCUCUUCACUGACUCACACCCUCAGCUUCUGGAUUUCAGGCACUUUAGCUCUCUCAGCUAAAUGGAAUGCCAACCCAACUCCUUCUAACAACUUGUUCUCUGAAGAGGUGUGAUUUGGCAGAUCUUUUGAGGAAAAGAGGCGAAACAACUCCUUAGCCACAUCACCAUGGAAAUACAAAUACAAACAGAGCAUCUCCUGCUUCCACAGACUCCAGUCGUUCGCAGCUCAAAGGCACCGUGGAGCACGAGGUGUAACAGACCCAGGAGCUCAGAUAACACGGCUUGUGAAAGCUGGACUGUGAUGGAGGCAACCUCACAUCAGGCUCCACCUUCUCCUCACCACACUCCCCACUGGACCAGUACUACUAGGAUUUCCAUACACCAUGACAUACCUUUUGGAGACCUGGACUACAAAAUUACAACAGCUCAGUGUUAAAGUCAGGUUUUUUUCCCCUUACAUCCAAUGUUCCCUCUUAAUCUCUCAAAUGCAGCAUCCUGGUCCUGCUCCCUGGGAUUUCAAAAGGUAUGUUUCUCUUAAAACUCCACUUAUCUUUUACCCUAUGGAAAGAGCAACUCCAGCCACUCUUUUCCUUUGGACUGGUAAGGUGAGUCCAUUCCCAUAUCUUCUAAGGUCCCAUUUUUUCUACAAAUAACUCUCUUUUCCUGCUCUUUCUCUGUGCCUUCACACUCUGAAGCAUCUUCACCACAUGACACUAUCCAUAAUAAGAAAACUCUCAUCUACUCAAUCCACUCUUUCCUUGGAAAUUAGAAUUAUUAGAAAAUAGUCAUUUGUGUGAACUCUGAAGCAGAAGGAAGCUAAGUUCAUGUGAGAAACUAACACCAGAAAAAAAUUAUUCCUGUAUAUUGAACAGUAAUAUCUGGUUUUGCUAUUCAAACUAUCAACCAUUUGAAGCAAUGCUGUUAGUAGAAUUUAGAAUUUAUGAUUUUGAAAGAUACCAUGCAUUCAGUCACAUGUUAACCUUCUCUCAGAAAAAGCAAAUGUUCACCAGUCAUUAACAUUAUCGUUCUUUUUAGGAUAUUUUGCCAAGGGGAAAAUGGCUAAGUAUGACAAAUGUUAACUAUGCAUAGUUUACUUGAGUAUCUGAUAGAUGGGUGGUUAAAUGGAUGAGCAGAAUAUGUUCCUUAGAAGAUCUCUAGACAACUUCUUUGAAUAUUCAUAGUUUUGUGCUUACAGGCAAUAGUUCUGUGCACCGGCCCAUUCUACUGAUAGCAGAUACAAAGAACAUCUUUCCCUCUCAUGACUAAACUAUAUAGAAAUAACCAGUAGAAAUACUCUUGCAAAACAUUCACAGAUCUUGCAGAUUGGUUUGUGAAUAAUCAUGUAAACACUGGAAAAACUUACUUUGCUUGUGGUACAGAGAUU
Molecule: long non-coding RNA, 1694 nt
Organism: Apus apus (common swift)
Lineage: Eukaryota; Metazoa; Chordata; Aves; Apodiformes; Apodidae
Exons: 4
Source: RefSeq, a predicted model, not a curated record